GACGAACGCUGGCGGCGUGCUUAACACAUGCAAGUCGAACGGAAAGGCCCUGCUUUUGUGGGGUGCUCGAGUGGCGAACGGGUGAGUAACACGUGAGUAACCUGCCCCUGACUUUGGGAUAACUUCAGGAAACUGGGGCUAAUACCGGAUAGGAGCUCCUGCUGCAUGGUGGGGGUUGGAAAGUUUCGGCGGUUGGGGAUGGACUCGCGGCUUAUCAGCUUGUUGUUGGGGUAGUGGCUUACCAAGGCUCUGACGGGUAGCCGGCCUGAGAGGGGGACCGGCCAAGUUGGGUUUGAGAUGCGGCCCAGACUACUACGGGAGGCAGCGGUGGGGAAUGUUGCACAAUGGGCGGGAGGCUGAUGCAGCAACGCCGCGUGCGGGAUGACGGCCUGCGGGUUGGGUUCCGCUUUCGCCUGUGACGAGGCGUGAGUGACGGUAAUGGGUGAAGAAGCACCGGCUAACUACGUG
RNAcentral lists this ribosomal RNA (468 nucleotides) under uncultured bacterium. RNAcentral describes it as "partial 16S ribosomal RNA". It matches the Rfam family "Bacterial small subunit ribosomal RNA", at positions 28 to 507 of the family's 1533-position model. The record is from RNAcentral.